GUGCUUGCUUUGGUAGCAUACUGAUUAAAACUGUAGUGAGAUUAGCAUGGUGCAUGCACAAAGAUGACACAAAUUUGUCAAUUGUUCCAUAUUUUA
RNAcentral lists this small nuclear RNA (96 nucleotides) under Cavia porcellus (domestic guinea pig). The record is from RNAcentral. Lineage: Eukaryota; Metazoa; Chordata; Mammalia; Rodentia; Caviidae.